RNAcentral lists this ribosomal RNA (486 nucleotides) under uncultured bacterium. RNAcentral's name for it is "partial 16S ribosomal RNA". It matches the Rfam family "Bacterial small subunit ribosomal RNA", at positions 28 to 507 of the family's 1533-position model. The record is from RNAcentral.
GAUGAACGCUGGCGGCGUGCCUAAUACAUGCAAGUCGAACGCUGGAGAUCUAGCUUGCUAGAUCGAAGGAGUGGCGAACGGGUGAGUAAUACAUAAGCAACCUACCCACGAAGACUGGGAUAAUCUCUGGAAACGGGGACUAAUACCGGAUAGGUAAUCGGAAGGCAUCUUCUGGUUAUUAAAGGUUAAAAACACUGGUGGAUGGGCUUAUGGCGCAUUAGUUAGUUGGUGAGGUAACGGCCCACCAAGACGAUGAUGCGUAGCCGGCCUGAGCGGGUGAACGGCCACAUUGGGACUGAGACACGGCCCAGACUCCUACGGGAGGCAGCAGUAGGGAAUUGUCGGCAAUGGGGGCAACCCUGACCGAGCAACGCCGCGUGAGUGAAGACGGCCUUCGGGUUGUAAAGCUCUGUUGUAAGGGAAGAACGGUAGAUAGAGAAUAUCUAAGUGACGGUACCUUACCAGAAAGCCACGGCUAACUACGUG